GCUGCCGUAGCUCAGUGGUAGAGCACCCCCUUGGUAAGGGGGAGGUCCAGAGUUCAAGUCUCUGCGGCAGCACCA
RNAcentral lists this transfer RNA (75 nucleotides) under Rhodospirillaceae bacterium. Its description in RNAcentral is "tRNA-Thr". It matches the Rfam family "tRNA". Rfam says of the family: Transfer RNA (tRNA) molecules are approximately 80 nucleotides in length. Their secondary structure includes four short double-helical elements and three loops (D, anti-codon, and T loops). Lineage: Bacteria; Pseudomonadati; Pseudomonadota; Alphaproteobacteria; Rhodospirillales; Rhodospirillaceae. The record is from RNAcentral.